UGCCCUCUGCGGAGUGGAAGACUAGUGAUUUUGUUGUGAAAAUGAACAAAAACCAACAACAAACCGCAGUCGUCCUCUCAGCACGGGGCC
RNAcentral lists this microRNA precursor (90 nucleotides) under Danio rerio (zebrafish). Its description in RNAcentral is "mir-7 microRNA precursor family". It matches the Rfam family "mir-7 microRNA precursor family". Rfam says of the family: This family represents the microRNA (miRNA) precursor mir-7. The record is from Rfam by way of RNAcentral. Lineage: Eukaryota; Metazoa; Chordata; Actinopteri; Cypriniformes; Danionidae.